This 285-nucleotide unclassified non-coding RNA is filed under the name Phlebia rufa. Its description in RNAcentral is "partial internal transcribed spacer region". The stretch from base 1 to 46 matches the Rfam family "Eukaryotic small subunit ribosomal RNA", at positions 1786 to 1831 of the family's 1831-position model. The record is from RNAcentral. Lineage: Eukaryota; Fungi; Basidiomycota; Agaricomycetes; Polyporales; Meruliaceae.
AAGUCGUAACAAGGUUUCCGUAGGUGAACCUGCGGAAGGAUCAUUAUCGAGUUUUGAAGUGGGGUUGUAGCUGGCCAAAAAAAUAAAGGCAUGUGCACACCUCAGCUCUCAUCCACUCUCAAACCCCUGUGCACUUAUCGUAGGCUUGGUGGGAUGGGCUGACCUUCGCAGGUCGGCUUUGAAAGCCUCGUCUAUGUCUUAUUACAAACGCUUCAGUUCAGAAUGUAAUCAAGUUGCUUUAAUGCAAAUUAAAUACAACUUUCAGCAACGGAUCUCUUGGCUCUC